CAAGCUGGCAUGGGCAUGAUUCAAGAUGUCAUUUCAAAAAUUAGAAAUGCAGUUUCUUUUAUUCAUGCUUCAAGAUCAAGACUUCAAGAAUUUAAGGAACUAUGUAUAAAUCAUGGUAAACGUUUUAAAAAAUUUAAACUUGAUGUAAUUACUCGUUGAAACUCAACAUAUAGCAUGAUACAUGAUGCAUACCCAUAUAAAAACUUAUUAAAUGCAUAUAUUAAUGAUCGUGGAUUAAGCUUUACAUUGACUGAAAUUGAUUGGAAUAAAGAAAAA
This 276-nucleotide long non-coding RNA is filed under the name Phoenix dactylifera (date palm). RNAcentral describes it as "long non-coding RNA (PDAC_LNC016122)". Lineage: Eukaryota; Viridiplantae; Streptophyta; Magnoliopsida; Arecales; Arecaceae. The record is from RNAcentral.